RNAcentral lists this transfer RNA (80 nucleotides) under Apiotrichum porosum. RNAcentral describes it as "tRNA-Gly". It matches the Rfam family "tRNA". From Rfam's summary of the family: Transfer RNA (tRNA) molecules are approximately 80 nucleotides in length. Their secondary structure includes four short double-helical elements and three loops (D, anti-codon, and T loops). Lineage: Eukaryota; Fungi; Basidiomycota; Tremellomycetes; Trichosporonales; Trichosporonaceae. The record is from RNAcentral.
ACACCGUUGGUGAAACGGUAUCAUGCGUCGUUGCCAAGUGCAGCCUCGACGCGGCAGGGGUUCGACUCCCUUACGGUGUA